UAAUUUGAGAGUUUGAUCCUGGCUCAGGACGAACGCUGGCGGCGUGCCUAAUACAUGCAAGUCGAACGAACUCUGGUAUUGAUUGGUGCUUGCAUCAUGAUUUACAUUUGAGUGAGUGGCGAACUGGUGAGUAACACGUGGGAAACCUGCCCAGAAGCGGGGGAUAACACCUGGAAACAGAUGCUAAUACCGCAUAACAACUUGGACCGCAUGGUCCGAGCUUGAAAGAUGGCUUCGGCUAUCACUUUUGGAUGGUCCCGCGGCGUAUUAGCUAGAUGGUGGGGUAACGGCUCACCAU
RNAcentral lists this ribosomal RNA (298 nucleotides) under Lactiplantibacillus plantarum. Its description in RNAcentral is "partial 16S ribosomal RNA". It matches the Rfam family "Bacterial small subunit ribosomal RNA", at positions 1 to 271 of the family's 1533-position model. Lineage: Bacteria; Bacillati; Bacillota; Bacilli; Lactobacillales; Lactobacillaceae. The record is from RNAcentral.